This 1271-nucleotide long non-coding RNA is filed under the name Astyanax mexicanus (Mexican tetra). RNAcentral describes it as "lncRNA (ENSAMXG00005010622.1)". The record is from RNAcentral. Lineage: Eukaryota; Metazoa; Chordata; Actinopteri; Characiformes; Acestrorhamphidae.
AAAACAACCACAUAUACUGUAUUUAACCUGUUUUAAAAUGUUAAAAUACUGAUACUUUACCGUUAGCUGAGACAGAAAGGUGCGGAAAACCUUUGUAAAAUACUAAUAAAUCGAUUUUGAGAGUCGAACACUAAGGUAAACAGUUAACGUUAUUCCAGUCUGAACAUGUUUGAGGAUUUAACGCCAAAAAUUACUAGUCUAGAAGAAAGACAAUGAGAGCAGACAGUUAAUAAGAGACAUUUAUAGGAAUUUUAUACAGUAAAACAUCCCCAUAUACUGUAUUUAACCUGUUUUAAUGUCAAAUACUGCCUUCUCAGUACGUUACCACUGAUACUUUCCCUUUAACUGACACAGAAACAUGCACAAACCGUUUAAAAAAAUACUCAUAAAUCGAUAUUGUCCAAAUUAAUCUCUGUUUGAGGAUAUAACGCCAAGCUAACAGUCAUAACUAGACUGGAAGAAAGCCAGGUGGUUAAUAAAAGUCAUUUCUAUGCAUUUUACACAGCAAAACAACCACAUAUACCGUAUUUAACCUGUUUUAAAAUGUUAAAAUACUGAUACAUUCCCUUUAGCCGAGACAGAAACUUGCCGAAAACCUUUGUAAAAUACUAAUAAAUCGAUUUUGAGAGUCGAACACAAAGGUAAACAGUUACUCCAAUCCUAGUGACUAGUCUAGAAGAAAGACCAGGAGAACAUAUGGGUAAUAAGAGACAUUUCUAGGAAUUUUAUACAGUAAAACAUCUACAUAUACUGUUUUUACUGCUUUCUCAGUACGUUACGACUGAUACUUUCCCUUUAACUGAAACAGAAAGGUGCACAAAACGUCCAGAAAACGCUGAUACAUCCAUUUCGGCGAAGUUAAUCCAGAUUCUAAACUUGUUUGAGGAUAUAACGCAAAGUUUAAAGUCUGCUAAUUGUCUUCAGACAUCAGGAAGCAGCACUUCAAAGCAGGUACAGAGAAACGCUGCCGGUAUGCUGGAUUAGAUAGCCGCACCUGUCUCGCGCUGUAAUCAGGUAAAUAGGUAUUUAGCCCCGCCCAGCAGAGAGUCCGUCUGUGCAAAGAGGACAACAGUUUUUUGUUGUAGCUGACAUGCUGCUUCUUUCAACAUCAAUGCUGUAAUACAGACGUUUUUUUUUUAUCCUGCUGUUGUUGGAGUAACUGUGUGUCUGUCUCUACCCUGCAGGAAAGCCUUUCUUAGCCAAUCAGCUUUUGAGACACCAGUGCUGUGAGGAUUUGAUUGCAUUUAGCAAUAAAAGCAUUAAUGACUGCA